GACCUGCUUGGGUAGAUGGAGAAUGGAAAUGCUGGGAAGGGGCAUGGCGGGGAAAGAUGUGGUUCAAGAUCCUGCAAGGGUGAAGAUCCAGACAGUGGGGGAGGACGGUCCUUAGAACCCAGCUUUGCAUCAGCAGCCCAGGGCUGAAAAUGUAAAUGUUCAAUAGCUGUGAGAUGGUGGCACACACCUUUAAUCCUAGACUGGGGAGACAGAGGCAGAAGGAUCUCUGAGUGUUUGAGACUAGCCUGGUCUACAGAGUGAGGUGUGGGAUAGCCAGGGCUAUGCAGAGAAACCCUGUCUCAAACAAACAAACAAACAACAAAGAAACAAAAAGAAAGAAAGAAGAAAAGAAAAAAUCCAAAAGUAAGAAAUAACAAAGAAUAGCAGAGCAACAAAGAAUAACAAAGAAUAACAAAUGUGAGAUGAGAUCCCUUGAGGAUUUCCUUCCAGCUAUGCUCAGACCACAGUGGAUGGGCUCAAAAACUGCUCAGGGCUAGAUUCCUCAGGGUUCUGUAACCUCUGAUGGGGUCCCUCAUACAAAAGUGGCAAAAGUGGGUGAGUUCUCUAGUCCUGUGAUGGAAUAACAAUGGUGGGGCAGUUUCUAGCCAGUCAGAUAGAGAACAUCACGGACAUGAGGCUGACUUUCAGCCCCAUGAAGUUGAGACACUGAGGUCUCUCUGCAGAGAAUGUCUGGCCAGACAAAUCCUGUGAAGUCAGCCAAUCAACAUAUGGAGACCAACAAGGCACCCUUUCCCUUUCCCCGAAAGGGAGUGGGCUGUGUCAUCAGUAGGCUAGGACUGCAAUCUUUGUGCCCUGUGCAGUCUGCCUCCUGUCCCCACAGUGGGGGUAAAUACUGACACCAAGACAGAGCCCAUCAGCUCUGAUAAAUACCCUGGGUGACGCAGCCAGGUGUGGACGCUGCGCUAGAGCGCCUGUGGCUGGAGCUGCGAUUCUGGCCCUUUUUCCACCUUAUUACCCUCCCUGGCAGGGAACAGAUGGGCGUAAGGGAUGGUAGACUGGAGACCCUACCCUCUCCCCUUCUUAGACUAGGCUGCUGAAAUCUCACUCAGGUCUCAGGCUUUGAGAGACCCAACUGUGGGUGAAAUCUGGAAGAUGCAAGUCUGAAUCAGUCUGUAAGUGAUAAGUCAGCCUGUCUUGCCUUUAGAUCAAGCCCCCUUCUUCACAGCACAUAUCUGGCACUCCAGCCACCUGGACUGUCAUUUUCCCAUGCCACCACCCCUCCCAGCAAGCUCCAACAGGACAAAGGACACUUGGGUGUUUGCAGUGUGGCCACCGGUUUUCUCUGCAGGUGGCCGAGGGUGUGAGCUGGAUGACCCAGCGGCCAAAGGGGGGAGCAUCCUGGGGGGAUCCUCUUGGUUCCUUAGGAGCCAAAGUUGGAGUGGUAGCAACAUUUUUUUUGAUCUUAGGAAUCCCCAGAGUUAUCAACUGGAAGGGUGUUUUGGUCAAAACAGAGAAACUAGACCGGGUCAUAGUCCUAUGGCAAGGGACAGGAUCUGGGGCCACAGGCUGUGACAAAGCCUAAUUCCUGAGUCCUCCCCGGAAAAGGGGCGGAGAUACCCACCGACUCCGGUGAGCUCAGAGUCCCCCUUCUAUGUCUCCAAGACAGAAGAACAGCAAAAUAUCCCUGGCCGAUCCUCGGAGGAUGCGAGAACCAAGAGAUUGCGCUCCCAGAGAACAGAAAGGAGAAGUUGAGAACCUUAACCUGCGGGAGACCGUUAGGGAAUCAGGUGACUCUAACCAUGACAGAAGGACACAUUUCCCGGUUUGAAAACUAAGGUGUUAGACGGAGGUGAGAACCACCAAAGACCUCAGGGACAGCUGGCUUACGUCCAGGAGCAGGCCCUGACCGGGAUCCGACCCCACGGGUCCCUUCCGAGAACCCUCACCAAGUGUACCAUAACCCCGAGGAUCCAAUCUUGCGCACCCUGGACUUCAGAGAGCCUCCACGGGUGAUUCCUGACCCGGCAGGUGCAGGUCCGGGUGCGGGUCCGAGUUCGCCAAGGGAAUAACAUGUGACGCAAAGAGCCCCUUUCUCUUGCAAUGUCCACUGUCCUGGGGUCGCAUCUUUGCGUUCAGGUCCGCCAGAAGACCCUGCCAGGAUUCGGGGCACGGGAUGCUCUCAGAGGCCGUGUCUUCUGUGCUUCUAUUUUCAGAAGAGUCCACCAGAGAUCCUGACAGGGAGCCGCCCUUUCUGUUUUGAUCCAGGCAAUGGCCAGAAGGCAAAGGUUAGAAGGCAAAGACCUGUUUGUUUCCGCCCUGUGGGGGCCACUUGUGCAAGCCUGAGGGACAGAUACAGCCCUUCCUUCAUUCAACUCCCGUUCCACCUCCCUGGGGCACAGGCUGAAGGACUGAACACCACAGCCUGUGUCUGCCCCUCCAUGACCUGGUAAUGAGACUUAGGGACGAGAGGGUGGCAGGAACUCUGUGCCAGUAUAGCACUGGGCUGGAGGUGCUAGGUCUACAGUGGCCAGGGACAGAGUGGGAGCAGGCACUGGUCUGCAGUUGCCUCUGUCUAGAUUCUGUCGUUCAGCUGGGCUUCCUGCACCUUAAGGAGAGGACUCACUGAAGGAUGAAGGUCUUUCCUUAAAAAGGACCUUACCCUCUAUACUGGCUGGUUCUGUGUGUCAACUUGACACAAGCUGGAGUCAGAGAGAAAUGAGCCUCCGUUGAGGAAAUGCCUCCAUGAGAUCCAGCUGUAAGACAUUUUCUCAACUAGUGGUCAAGGGAGGAAGACCCAGUCCAUUGUGGGUGGUGCCAUCCCUGGGCUGGUGGUCUUAGGUUCUAUAAGAGAGCAAGCUGAGCAAGCCAGGGGAAGCAAACCCAUAAGUAACAUCCCUGCAUGACCUCUGCAUCAGCUCCUGCUUCCUGACCUGCGUGAGUUCCAGUUCUGACUUCCUUUGGUGAUGAACAGCGAUGUGGAAGUGUAAGCUGAAUAAACCUUUUCCUCCCUGA
Molecule: non-coding RNA, 2973 nt
Organism: Rattus norvegicus (Norway rat)
Lineage: Eukaryota; Metazoa; Chordata; Mammalia; Rodentia; Muridae
Source: RefSeq, a predicted model, not a curated record